GACGAACGCUGGCGGCGUGCUUAACACAUGCAAGUCGAACGGAAAGGCCCUGCUUUUGUGGGGUGCUCGAGUGGCGAACGGGUGAGUAACACGUGAGUAACCUGCCCUUGACUUUGGGAUAACUUCAGGAAACUGGGGCUAAUACCGGAUAGGAGCUCCUGCUGCAUGGUGGGGGUUGGAAAGUUUCGGCGGUUGGGGAUGGACUCGCGGCUUAUCAGCUGGUUGGUGGGGUAGUGGCUUACCAAGGCUUUGACGGGUAGCCGGCCUGAGAGGGUGACCGGCCACAUUGGGACUGAGAGACGGCGCAGACUCCUACGGGAGGCAGCAGUGGGGAAUAUUGCACAAUGGGCGGAAGCCUGAUGCAGCAACGCCGCGUGCGGGAUGACGGCCUUCGGGUUGUAAACCGCUUUCGCCUGUGACGAAGCGUGAGUGACGGUAAUGGGUAAAGAAGCACCGGCUAACUACGUG
RNAcentral lists this ribosomal RNA (468 nucleotides) under uncultured bacterium. RNAcentral's name for it is "partial 16S ribosomal RNA". It matches the Rfam family "Bacterial small subunit ribosomal RNA", at positions 28 to 507 of the family's 1533-position model. The record is from RNAcentral.